Monodelphis domestica (gray short-tailed opossum) is the source of this 2058-nucleotide long non-coding RNA. RefSeq lists it as uncharacterized. Lineage: Eukaryota; Metazoa; Chordata; Mammalia; Didelphimorphia; Didelphidae. The record is from RefSeq and is a predicted model, not a curated record.
CUUCUCCCGGCCUCUCCCGGACAGCGCUCCUCGCUGGCUGCUCUCCGCUCCCUCGGCCUCCUUCCUCUCUGCUGCUUGCUCCACUCAGCUCCCUGAGGGGGUUCGGCUUAGCGAGAAGACGGAUGCCGGAGCAGAAACUCUACAAGGGUGUGAGAGUGAGGAUAAUUACCCCCACUUCCAUGAAGAUGAAAACUGAGAACCAGAAGUAUGCAAUUGACUUCAGAGAAUCUCUGACUUGGAAGAGAACUCAGAAACCAUCUAACCCAAACUGGACCUGACUGAAAAUCCCUCUACAAUAUCUUCAGUGAUUCAGUCCAACAAGAAAUUGUUCACUGGAAAUAAACUGAGAAGACAGAGCAGUGAUGAAACCUGGGCAUGGGCAUGAUUCUGGGUCAGAUGUUUGAUUUGUAUUUCUGGUAAUUGUCCUUGAGAUUAGAACUUAAUGGAAAACAGCUGAUUAGAGAAACGAUGAAAUGGACCACCUCUAGUGGUAGUGAGCUCUUCAUCUUUGAAAGUGUUCACACAGAGGCUGAGGGACCACUUUGAGUGAAUCUGUAAAGCAUAUUCCUCUUCAGAUAGGGGUUGGGCUACAUGACCUGAUGCCCCCUUCAACUCCGGUAUUCUAUGACUACGUUAUCAUUUCAUGACAUUCCUCAGUAGAGAGGCAUAAUAGCCUAAUGAAAAGCCUGUUCGACUUUGAGUGAGGAGACCAGAGACAGAGUCUUCUGGGAAAAAUGUGUCCCUAUUGUCUACUAAAUAGAGUUCAAACUCUUUCCCCUGGUAUUUGAAGCCCUUCACAAUCCAGCCUCAACCUACAUUGUUUGUUCUAUCUGUUAACUUACUGGUUGGGUGACCUUGGGCUAUAACUCCAUUUCACUGAAGUCUUAAUUUUCCCAUCUGUAAAAUGGUGUGGAAGCAAGGUGGACUCUCCAGACCCUCUUUUAUGGGCCUUGAGUCAAAAAAGGCAAAGGCUAUUUCUGCCUGCUUAAAAAUUAGAUGACUAAGGCUUCCUUGUGAGGCACAAUAUUGCACAGACUAGUUUCCUCUCUCUGUAAGCAGCCAAUGGUGAAAUAUAUAACCAAAGUGUCUUAAGAAAAUGUGCUGUAUAUAUGUUGAAAAUCUUGCCUAAUAUGGAAUAUUGGUUGUAGUCAUCUUUUUCUGUCUACUCAUUCUAGCUUAUAUAUGUAUAUUAUAUUACAUUGCAUUGUAUAUUAUAUCAUAUUUAUUAUAUUAUACUUAUUAUAUUACAUUAUGUUUAUUACAUUAUACAUAAGCAGCUUCUUGGUACAGUGGAAUAAAGCAAUUGACCUAGAGCCAUAUUGGUGAACCUAUGGUACACAUGCUAGAAGGGACUGCUCCCCUCUUCCUUUUCAUGAAUGCAUGAGGACAUUUCCUUAUUAUUCCCUUCCUUCCUUAUGUUAUACAGCAUGUCCCAAAAGUCUUAGUACAUUUUGAGUUUUGAUAAUUUCAGCAAUGUAAAAUCUGCAGACUUUCAGAAAACAUCAUUUGAAACAUAAUUAUUAAAAUGUAUUUUAUAUUACUUAGACUUAUGAAUUUUUAGUAAUAAAUUUUUAAUUUUAAUAAUAAUAGAGUGAUAUAUAGUAUAAGAUGGUGGUGAUAAAUUAUAGCAGAAGCAUCAGCAUUUUAACAUUUCAAAUAACUGAUCUUUCAAAUCUUGCCAUUUGUAAGUCUUAUGAAUUUAUAUUUGUAAAGUUAUUAAAGAUUAAAAGUCUUGGAGACUAUUGGGACGCACUGCAUAAUUUGUAUGCAGACUUUUCUGUACUUUCAAACUCUUUGAUCAAACCAGUUCUCCUUGCAAUGACUUGUGCCUAAUCAAUACAAUGACUUUGUCAUAUCCUAAGCAACUUUCAGAGUAAGGACAUAUUCCUUCCAUGAUAGAGAUGAUGACAUUCAGCACGACCUACUAUACAGAUUGUUUUGUAAACAUUAAGGCACUUCAUAGAAAUGAGUUAUAGUCCUCAUCUUCACCAUCAUUAUUAUCAUCAUCAUGUUCAAAUUCAAUGGGUUUAUCUACCUAAUAAAGUUUAAAACUACUGA